RNAcentral lists this transfer RNA (82 nucleotides) under bacterium. RNAcentral's name for it is "tRNA-Tyr". It matches the Rfam family "tRNA". From Rfam's summary of the family: Transfer RNA (tRNA) molecules are approximately 80 nucleotides in length. Their secondary structure includes four short double-helical elements and three loops (D, anti-codon, and T loops). The record is from RNAcentral. RNAcentral also lists the same sequence under 5 other names.
GGGCAGGUACCAGAGCGGUCAAAUGGAGCAGACUGUAAAUCUGCCGGCUUCGCCUUCGGAGGUUCGAAUCCUUCCCUGCCCA